UCAUAGUUUCCCUACACAACCUCAAACCUCAAACUGCCAGCAACAUGAACUCCACCUUCGAUCGACAACUACUUCAUCUCCUCAAACCUCAAACUACUACAUCAUCAUCUCUCUAAUCUCUUCUUUUCACUUCUCUACCCCAGCAGCCCAGUCUCAAAAUCAUCCUAAAUUACGAGCACCAAACUCCUUCAUCUUGGGUUUUCAAUCGAUCAGGUUUUGUUGAGCUCACUUCAAUCCAAAGUUGCUUUAGUAUUACACAAAAGGUGUCGAGGUUUUGUUGAUCUCCAGACUUCAACCCAGAAAUUGCUCUAGUAUCAUUAAAAAGGUUGUGUUCAUCGUCACACUUCAACCAGAAUUGCUUAAGUAGUACUGAAAAAGUGUCCAGGAUACAGAUGGAUAGAAAUUGGAUUCGUAAUAGACAUAUUAGACACCGUCAGGAAUACAUAGAUGGUAUUGAAUCAUUCAUUGAAGUUGCUACACAACACGUGAAUGAACAAAACAAGACAGUAUGUCCGUGUGUUAAGUGUCAAAAUAAAAAAGACCAAAUCAUACCUGUUAUCCGGAUGCAUUUAGCCAAAGAUGGUAUGUUAGAGACAUAUGAGAUAUGGCAUAAACAUGGUGAGAAAUUAGAUGCUCCACCUCCUCCAAUUGUUCAAGAUGAUCUUGAACCUAAUGUUGUCAUUCAGAAUAUUUUGAAUGAUGCCUUCCCAAUUGUUCAAGGGGCUAAAGAUGUUGACAUGAAUGAGGAUGUAGAAUUAGCAGAUGAUGCAUUGGGUGAAAUGGCAGAUGCUAUGGGGAAUCAGGGAGCCAAUGUACAUAGGCUACAAGCUGAUAAGUAUGACGAAUUGCUUGCUGAAGCCCAACGCGAAUUUUUUCCUGGUUGUGAUAGUAGUGUUUUGACAGCUAUGGUCAAACUCAUGCACUGCAAGGUGCUUAAUCAUUGGACAAAUAAGUCCUUUGAUACAAUGUUGGAGACUUUGAAUCAGCUUUGUCCUAAACCUAAUAACAUUCCUAUGUCAUUCUAUGAAGCGAAUAAGAUGUUAAAAAAAUUGGGUCUGGGUUAUGAAAAGAUCCAUGUGUGUAAGAAUGACUGUGCUCUGUUUUACAAGGAGCAUGAAAAGAAAAGAAGCUGUCCAGUGUGUGGGGAGAACAGAUAUAAACCUAGUCCUAGUUCUGAUGAUGGUAAGAAUAAAAAGAAGGUUCCACAUAAAGUCUUGCGUUAUUUUCCAUUGAAGCCGAGAUUAGAAAGGUUGUUUAUGUCUAGACAUACUGCUGCUGAAAUGAGGUGGCAUAAAGAGAAACGUGUUGAUCAGAAUGAUGUUAUGAGGCAUCCAGCUGACUCUAUUGCCUGGAAGGAAUUUGACAAAAUGUAUCCUGAUUUUGCAAAAGAGCCCCGAAAUGUUAGACUAGGCCUUGCAACCGAUGGAUUUAAUCCGUUUGGAAACAUGAGUCUUUCUUACAGUAUGUGGCCUGUGAUGGUGUUUCCUUAUAACUUGCCUCCUUGGAUGUGCAUGAAGAAACCAUAUACAUUUUUGACUUUAUUAAUUCCUGGGCCAACUGCACCAGGUAAAGACCUUGAUGUGUUUUUGCGGCCGUUGAUUGAUGAGCUUAAAGAGUUGUGGGAAACUGGUGUUCGAACGUAUGAUAAGUCGACUGAUUCUACAUUUGAUUUGAAGGCUGCUGUACUAUGGACCGUUAAUGAUUUCCCGGCUUAUGGAAAUUUAUCUGGGUAGAGUACUAAGGGCUAUUUGGCAUGUCCUAACUGCAAUGCGGAUGCUUGCUCCUACAGAUUAAGGAGUAAGAUUGGUUUUUUUGCCCAUCGCCGCUGGUUGAGAAGGAAUCACCCAUGGCGAAAGCAAAAAGAACUCUUUAAUAAUGAAGAAGAGAAGAGGAGCCCUCCAAAACAUUUAUCUGGUGAAGAUAUUCUACGCCAACUUAAUAAUCUCAGACCUUGUACGCCUGGAAAACACAAAGAUAAUCCAGAUAACAAGAGGAAACGGUUAGAGAGUGAAUUAAAUUGGACGAAGAAGAGUAUCUUUUUUGAGUUGGAGUAUUGGUCCAAGUUGUUGAUUCGACAUAAUCUAGACGUAAUGCACAUUGAAAAGAAUAUCUGUGAUAAUAUUGUGGGGACAUUGUUGUGCAUAGACAAAAAAUCCAAAGACACAGUCAAGGCUCGGUUAGAUUUGCAAGACAUGGGUAUACGUGAGGAAUUGCAUUUAGAAGGACAAGGAACAAAGUUUAAAAAGCACCUUGCACAUUAUUCUCUAUCACCGCCCCAGUGUAGAGGUUUCUGUCAUUUUAUAAAGAAUCAGAAACUUCCAGAUGGGUUAGCAUCCAAUAUUUCAAGAUGUGUUAAAGAUGGGAAGAUUUUUGGUUUGAAAACCCAUGAUUGUCACGUGUUAUUACAACGACUUCUGCCAGUUGGGAUUCGACCGUACUUGUCUAAGGAUGUGUGUGAUGCCAUUGUUGGAUUAUCAAGUUUUUUUCAACAAAUCUGUGCAAAUACAUUAAAUGUGGUAGACUUGGAUAGACUACAAAAAGAGAUUGUGAUUAUUCUAUGCAAGCUUGAGCAAAUAUUUCCACCGGCAUUCUUCGAUGUUAUGGUGCAUUUGGCUGUGCAUUUACCACUUGAGGCGAAACUUGCUGGACCAGUAAUGUAUCGUUGGAUGUACCCAAUAGAAAGGAGGUUAGGAGACUUAAAACGUUAUGUACGUAAUCGAGCCCGUCCCGAAGGUUCAAUUGCAGAGGGAUACAUUGUGGAGGAAUCAUUGACGUUUUGUGCUUUAUAUCUUGACGAUGUUGAGACUGUGUUUUCUCGACCUGAAAGGAAUUAUGAUGGAGAUGAAUCGAGUGUGCAACUCUCUGUUUUUGCACAAAACGUACGUGCUUGUGGUGGAUACAAAAUGAUGAGGUGGUCUGAAACUGAAUUGGAGCCAGCUAGAUGGUAUAUUUUGGACAACUGUGUGGAGGUCGAACCCUAUAAAAUCAAGCAUCGUGAGAUAUUAGAAAGAGUAAGUCCCCUUAAUUUAGAUGAGAGACAAAGAGAAUCAUUCCCACAGUGGUUCAAGGAUCAUAUUCAAGUAUUAUACAAUGAGGGAUCAGGUGAGGUGACUAAAGAGUUAUAUGCACUAUCACUUGGUCCGGAUGAGAGAGCUGCUACCUAUACUAUAUGUACAAUGAACGGGAUUAAAUGGCAUGUUAAACAGAUUGAGAACACUAAAUCUGUCCAAAAUAGUGGAAUUAUGGUUCCGGGGUCACAUGGUCAUCGCGAAAGUGAUUUUUAUGGUCAAUUGGUCAGCAUUGUUCAAGUACGCUAUAAACAUGGCUAUUCUGUUUUUCUUUUUAAAGGUGAGUGGUUUGAUACAGACUCUAAGAAGAGAAACAGGAUUGUUCGAGAUUAUCAUCUCAAGUCAGUGAACACAAACACUUUAUGGUACAAAAAGGAUCCUUAUGUUUUAGCUACGCAAGCACAACAAGUUUUUUAUUUUGAUGAUCCGAAGUUAGGUUCUGGAUGGAAAGUUAUUGAGAAAAUUAGACAUAGACAUGUUUGGGAUGUUCCAGAAAAUGAAGAGACUCAUGCCAUGGAAACUAACUACGUUGAUGAGGAAGACCAAGAAGAAGUUGGAGAUUUUGUUAGACUUAUUGAAGAUGAGAAUGUGAAUCCAAGUAGAACAUUACGUAGAGACAAUGUAGAACCUGAAAUCCAUGUGCUUAGUCACAAGGAUUUAGAACGUAGUAGUUCUCUUGAUCUCAAUUUCAUUGAUGAUGAUCCCCAAGAUGAAGAAAUAUUGUCCGCGGAUGAAGAAUACACCGAGAAUAAUGAUGAUGAUGAUGAAGAUAGUGAUCUAGAUUAGUAUGCUAAAUAUUUAAAACGUAUUUUAUGUACACCCGUGAUUCUUGCAUUUAAGGAUGUUUAAAGCAACUCUGAACAAGACCAAAGAAAACAAUAAGCGUGCGUACCAGCCACCAACGCGUCCUCUAUCAUGCCCUCAACCUCAACCAACCAUACAACAGUCAUUGCUCACUCGAACUAGGGAGAGCCGGUC
This is an RNA transcript of Rosa rugosa (rugosa rose), 4046 nucleotides long. RefSeq lists it as uncharacterized. Lineage: Eukaryota; Viridiplantae; Streptophyta; Magnoliopsida; Rosales; Rosaceae. The transcript is spliced from 8 exons. The record is from RefSeq and is a predicted model, not a curated record.